Molecule: long non-coding RNA, 1295 nt
Filed under: Equus caballus (horse)
Lineage: Eukaryota; Metazoa; Chordata; Mammalia; Perissodactyla; Equidae
Description: lncRNA (ENSECAG00000037885.3)
Source: RNAcentral
CUCUCUGAAGGCUGAGCACCAGGUGGACCUGACUCUUACCUUCCUCCAGCCAGUUACAUCAACUCUUUGUGCUAAGGAGCCAUGCCAGAUACUGCUUCCUGUGGCCCUGCUUGCGGACCUGCUGAAAGAGGACGAACAGAUCCCAGGCGGCCUUACCCUGAUCUCCACAGGCCUGUCUGAUCCUGUGGCAUCCUUCCCCGCUUCUUUCGUCAGUCAGGCAGAGGACCCUGUCUCCCAUCCACAUGCGACUCUGCCCAUCCAGCCUCACUUGGGUCAUGCAUCAGUCAUGAGGGGCUGGCUGGACUCCUCCCGGCUCAGCUGUAUGGCAACAGCUCCUGCCUCUAGGUCUGAGAGCUGCCUUCAAGCCACGUGCUUCGUUUUGGAAGCCACCACUGUUCCAGUAACGUAAGACAGAAGUAAGAAGUGAAAAGAAGCAUCCUGCUCACAGCAGGGGAACCCAGACGGCCACCAGGACUUGCAGUAUCUCUGGACACUUGAACAGAGACCUGAAGAAGGUGAGCCUGAGCCGGGCAGCUCUCUGACAGAAGGUUCCAGGGAAUGGCCCAUGGACUUUCCCUGUAAACCCCAUUAUCAGUUAUAAGAUGGACCAACUACUAAGCAUGAUCUCGGCUGCUGCUCAGUUAUCCCAGAUCUGAUGGAGGCCACACCGCCGUUCCAGAGGCUGGAAAGGGCUCUGCUUAGAGUCUUUAUAAAAAGACCGUUUCCUUAAUUACUUCAACCCUUGCUGUCCUGUGCUUUUCUCUUGGCUCCAGACAGCCUUCUACAUGCAUUUCCUGAAGCCAAGGCUGGCUUCAUGUGCAGGCAAACAGUAGCAGACAGUGCUGGGUGCUCUCAGAGACUUCCCUUCCCCACACACCCAAACUUCUGACUCUUCUGCUGGAUGGAGAUCCCUUGAACAGCUCAACUUGAUAUAUGUGACAACUAUCUAGAGUGUUUAUACAAAGUCCUGAUGGUUGGGUCCCACCCACACCGAAUGAAUCUGACUCUCUGGGGUUGGUCCCAGGCAACAAAGGGUACUUUUGAAAAGUUUCCUGGGUGAUUCUGACGUGCAGCCAAGUUGAGAAGUGCUGGCCUAGACCAAUCCUCUUAUUAUAGAGGGAGAAAGUGGCUUGUCCAAAGUCACAUGGCCCUCAGUGGCAGGAUUGGAAUGAAAAUCCAGGUCUUUUGACUCGUAGAACAAUGUCCGUUUCUAAAAGAAACAGAGGCUGGAAAAGAUAAGUCUCCCUGGGGAGAGGCACCUGGCCUUCAGGCACAGAGAUUGUUGGAUGAUGGAG